RNAcentral lists this ribosomal RNA (57 nucleotides) under uncultured eukaryote. Its description in RNAcentral is "partial small subunit ribosomal RNA". It matches the Rfam family "Eukaryotic small subunit ribosomal RNA", at positions 1772 to 1828 of the family's 1831-position model. The record is from RNAcentral.
GCUAGAAGAAGCAAAAGUCGUAACAAGGUUGCUGUAGGUGAACCUGCAGAAGGAUCA